GCCGAAGUGGUGAAAUUGGUAGACACGCUGUCUUGAGGGGGCAGUGCCUUACGGCGUCGGGGUUCGAAUCCCCGCUUCGGCACCA
This 85-nucleotide transfer RNA is filed under the name Gemmatimonadota bacterium. RNAcentral describes it as "Gemmatimonadetes bacterium tRNA-Leu". It matches the Rfam family "tRNA". From Rfam's summary of the family: Transfer RNA (tRNA) molecules are approximately 80 nucleotides in length. Lineage: Bacteria; Pseudomonadati; Gemmatimonadota. The record is from RNAcentral.